This 497-nucleotide ribosomal RNA is filed under the name uncultured bacterium. Its description in RNAcentral is "partial 16S ribosomal RNA". It matches the Rfam family "Bacterial small subunit ribosomal RNA", at positions 28 to 507 of the family's 1533-position model. The record is from RNAcentral.
GAUGAACGCUGGCGGCGUGCCUAAUACAUGCAAGUCGAGCGAACGGACGAGAAGCUUGCUUCUCUGAUGUUAGCGGCGGACGGGUGAGUAACACGUGGAUAACCUACCUAUAAGACUGGGAUAACUUCGGGAAACCGGAGCUAAUACCGGAUAAUAUUUUGAACCGCAUGGUUCAAAAGUGAAAGACGGUCUUGCUGUCACUUAUAGAUGGAUCCGCGCUGCAUUAGCUAGUUGGUAAGGUAACGGCUUACCAAGGCAACGAUGCAUAGCCGAACUGAGAGGGGGAUCGGCCACACUGGAACUGAGACACGGUCCAGACUCCUACGGGAGGCAGCAGUAGGGAAUCGUCCGCAAUGGGCGAAAGCCUGACGGAGCAACGCCGCGUGAGUGAUGAAGGUCUUCGGAUCGUAAAACUCUGUUAUUAUGGAAGAACAUAUGUGUAAGUAACUGUGCACAUCUUGACGGUACCUAAUCAGAAAGCCACGGCUAACUACGUG